GCCCGGGUAGCUCACUCGGUAGAACGUUAGGCUUUUAACCUAACGGUGCAGGGCUCCAGCCCCUGUUCGUGCG
Trichonephila clavipes is the source of this 73-nucleotide non-coding RNA. The record is from the annotation of a GenBank genome assembly. Lineage: Eukaryota; Metazoa; Arthropoda; Arachnida; Araneae; Nephilidae.